Molecule: ribosomal RNA, 2111 nt
Filed under: Salmonella enterica subsp. enterica serovar Oranienburg
Lineage: Bacteria; Pseudomonadati; Pseudomonadota; Gammaproteobacteria; Enterobacterales; Enterobacteriaceae
Description: partial 23S ribosomal RNA
Rfam family: Bacterial large subunit ribosomal RNA
Source: RNAcentral
AGACCCGAAACCCGGUGAUCUAGCCAUGGGCAGGUUGAAGGUUGGGUAACACUAACUGGAGGACCGAACCGACUAAUGUUGAAAAAUUAGCGGAUGACCUGUGGCUGGGGGUGAAAGGCCAAUCAAACCGGGAGAUAGCUGGUUCUCCCCGAAAGCUAUUUAGGUAGCGCCUCGUGAAUUCAUCUCCGGGGGUAGAGCACUGUUUCGGCUAGGGGGCCAUCCCGGCUUACCAACCCGAUGCAAACUGCGAAUACCGGAGAAUGUUAUCACGGGAGACACACGGCGGGUGCUAACGUCCGUCGUGAAGAGGGAAACAACCCAGACCGCCAGCUAAGGUCCCAAAGUCAUGGUUAAGUGGGAAACGAUGUGGGAAGGCCCAGACAGCCAGGAUGUUGGCUUAGAAGCAGCCAUCAUUUAAAGAAAGCGUAAUAGCUCACUGGUCGAGUCGGCCUGCGCGGAAGAUGUAACGGGGCUAAACCAUGCACCGAAGCUGCGGCAGCGACACUCAGGUGUUGUUGGGUAGGGGAGCGUUCUGUAAGCCUGUGAAGGUGGCCUGUGAGGGUUGCUGGAGGUAUCAGAAGUGCGAAUGCUGACAUAAGUAACGAUAAAGCGGGUGAAAAGCCCGCUCGCCGGAAGACCAAGGGUUCCUGUCCAACGUUAAUCGGGGCAGGGUGAGUCGACCCCUAAGGCGAGGCCGAAAGGCGUAGUCGAUGGGAAACGGGUUAAUAUUCCCGUACUUGGUGUUACUGCGAAGGGGGGACGGAGAAGGCUAUGUUGGCCGGGCGACGGUUGUCCCGGUUUAAGCGUGUAGGUGUGUGUUCCAGGUAAAUCCGGUUCACUUUAACACUGAGGCGUGACGACGAGGCACUACGGUGCUGAAGCAACAAAUGCCCUGCUUCCAGGAAAAGCCUCUAAGCAUCAGGUAACAUCAAAUCGUACCCCAAACCGACACAGGUGGUCAGGUAGAGAAUACCAAGGCGCUUGAGAGAACUCGGGUGAAGGAACUAGGCAAAAUGGUGCCGUAACUUCGGGAGAAGGCACGCUGACAUGUAGGUGAAGUGAUUUACUCACGGAGCUGAAGUCAGUCGAAGAUACCAGCUGGCUGCAACUGUUUAUUAAAAACACAGCACUGUGCAAACACGAAAGUGGACGUAUACGGUGUGACGCCUGCCCGGUGCCGGAAGGUUAAUUGAUGGGGUCAGCGCAAGCGAAGCUCCUGAUCGAAGCCCCGGUAAACGGCGGCCGUAACUAUAACGGUCCUAAGGUAGCGAAAUUCCUUGUCGGGUAAGUUCCGACCUGCACGAAUGGCGUAAUGAUGGCCAGGCUGUCUCCACCCGAGACUCAGUGAAAUUGAACUCGCUGUGAAGAUGCAGUGUACCCGCGGCAAGACGGAAAGACCCCGUGAACCUUUACUAUAGCUUGACACUGAACAUUGAGCCUUGAUGUGUAGGAUAGGUGGGAGGCUUUGAAGUGUGGACGCCAGUCUGCAUGGAGCCGACCUUGAAAUACCACCCUUUAAUGUUUGAUGUUCUAACGUGGACCCGUAAUCCGGGUUGCGGACAGUGUCUGGUGGGUAGUUUGACUGGGGCGGUCUCCUCCUAAAGAGUAACGGAGGAGCACGAAGGUUGGCUAAUCCUGGUCGGACAUCAGGAGGUUAGUGCAAUGGCAUAAGCCAGCUUGACUGCGAGCGUGACGGCGCGAGCAGGUGCGAAAGCAGGUCAUAGUGAUCCGGUGGUUCUGAAUGGAAGGGCCAUCGCUCAACGGAUAAAAGGUACUCCGGGGAUAACAGGCUGAUACCGCCCAAGAGUUCAUAUCGACGGCGGUGUUUGGCACCUCGAUGUCGGCUCAUCACAUCCUGGGGCUGAAGUAGGUCCCAAGGGUAUGGCUGUUCGCCAUUUAAAGUGGUACGCGAGCUGGGUUUAGAACGUCGUGAGACAGUUCGGUCCCUAUCUGCCGUGGGCGCUGGAGAACUGAGGGGGGCUGCUCCUAGUACGAGAGGACCGGAGUGGACGCAUCACUGGUGUUCGGGUUGUCAUGCCAAUGGCACUGCCCGGUAGCUAAAUGCGGAAGAGAUAAGUGCUGAAAGCAUCUAAGCACGAAACUUGCCCCGA